This 397-nucleotide ribosomal RNA is filed under the name uncultured bacterium. RNAcentral describes it as "bacterial SSU rRNA". It matches the Rfam family "Bacterial small subunit ribosomal RNA", at positions 32 to 414 of the family's 1533-position model. The record is from RNAcentral.
AAUCAACGCUGGCGGCGUGCCUAACACAUGCAAGUCGAACGCGAAAAUCCCGCAAGGGAUUAGUAGAGUGGCAAACGGGUGAGUAACGCGUGGGUGACCUGCCUUCGAGCGGGGGAUAACGUUCCGAAAGGGACGCUAAUACCGCAUAACAUCCUGCCUUUGAAGAGGUGGAGAUCAAAGCUGGGGAUCGCAAGACCUAGCACUUGAAGAGGGGCCCGCGUCUGAUUAGCUAGNGGUGAGGUAACGGCUCACCAAGGCUUCGAUCAGUAUCCGGCCUGAGAGGGCGGACGGACACACUGGGACUGAGACACGGCCCAGACUCCUACGGAGGCAGCAGUGGGGAAUUGUUCGCAAUGGGCGCAAGCCUGACGACGCAACGCCGCGUGGAGGAUGAAGA